Molecule: ribosomal RNA, 2467 nt
Filed under: bioreactor sludge metagenome
Description: bacterial LSU rRNA
Rfam family: Bacterial large subunit ribosomal RNA
Source: RNAcentral
GAAUGCCUAGGGACAAGUUGCCGACGAAGGACGCGUAAGCGGCGAAACGCUCCGGGGAGCUGCACAAAAGUGUUGAUCCGGAGAUAUCCGAAUGGGGAAACCCGGCGGGGGUAAAGCCUCGUCAUCCGUCUCUGAAUACAUAGGGGGCGAGAAGGGCACCGGCUGAACUGAAACAUCUAAGUAAGCCGAGGAAAAGAAAUCGAAGAGAUUCCGUAAGUAGCGGCGAGCGAAAGCGGACCAGCCUAAACCAGACGGUUUACCGCCUGGGGUUGUGGGGCCACUACAAACUCCCUCAAACCGAGUGUCCAGCGAUGGACAUUGGGUUUGAUGGGGUUUGAAAAGAAGAUUGAGUAAGAGUUAGAGGAAGCGAACUGGAACGUUCCGCCAUAGAGGGUGACAGCCCCGUAUUCCAAAAUUCUCUCGAAUUCAAGUGGUACCCGAGUAGCGCGGUACACGAGGAAUUCCGCGUGAAUCUGCCCGGACCACCGGGUAAGGCUAAACACAGCUUGUCACCGAUAGUGCAUCCAGUACCGUGAGGGAAAGGUGAAAAGAACCCCGGUGAGGGGAGUGAAAUAGAACCUGAAAUCGCACGACCCGCAAACAGUCAGAGCACCAUGUCGGGAGCAAUCCCGUCAAGUGUGAUGGCGUACCUUUUGCAGAAUGAGCCUGCGAGUUGUUGGUACCGGCAAGGUUAAGUGUCUUAGACACGGAGCCGGAGGGAAACCGAGUCCGAAUAGGGCGUCAAGUCGGUAUUAGCAGACCCGAAACUGCGUGAUCUAGCCAUGGCCAGGUUGAAGUGUUGGUAACACAACAUGGAGGACCGAACUCAUUGACGUUGAAAAGUCUCGGGAUGAGCUGUGGUUAGUCCGGUGAAAUGCCAAUCGAACGCAGAGAUAGCUGGUUCUCCCCGAAAUGCAUUUAGGUGCAGCGUUACGCGUUGUUGUCAGGGGGUAGAGCACUGAAUGGGCUAGGGGGCCUACCAGCUUACCGACCCCAACCAAACUCCGAAUACCUGACAAUAAGCGUAGCAGUGAGACGGUGAAGGCUAAGCUCCAUCGUCAAAAGGAAAACAGUCCAGAUCGACAGCUAAGGGCCCUAAACAUAGAUUAAGUGUGAAACGAUGUGAGAUCGCGUAAACAGCCAGGAGGUUGGCUUGGAAGCAGCCACCCUUUAAAAAGUGCGUAAUAGCUUACUGGCCGAAUGUGAAUUUGCGCGGAAAAUGUAAGGGGGCUUAAGCUUCCUCCCGAAGCUACGGGAUCCCACAAGAGUGGUGAUCGGUAGGGGAGCGUCGUAUAUGCGGUGAAGCCAAAGCGGAAGCCUUGGUGGAGCGUAUUCGAGUGAGAAUGCAGACAUGAGUAGCGAUAACAGGGGUGAGAAUCCCCUGCGCCGAAAACCUAAGGUUUCUCCGGCCAUGUUCGUCAGACGGAGGUUAGGCGGUCCCUAAGGCCAGGCCAGAAGGCGUAGCCGAUGGACAUCCGGUCGAAAUUCCGGACCCGGGCCACGGGCCAUGGGAGGACGCUUCUUGAUUUCUGAUCCCGCACCGUUGGUUGUUGCGGGCUAGCUAAACGCUGGGCCACUUGAAAGAGUGGCGGAAAGGCGAAUAGCGGGGAAGGAAACCCUUCGGGGGGACUGAACUCAGAAUGAGGGGGGCCGAGAAAAUCCCCACAGCUAUACCGUGGUACCGACCGUACUGCAAACCGACACAGGUAGGUGAGUCGAGGAGACUCAGGCGUUCGAGAGAACUCUCGUUAAGGAACUAGGCAAAUGGGCCCCGUAAGUUAGCAAUAAGGGGCGCCCCGCAAGGGGCCGCAGCGAAGCAUCCCAGGCGACUGUUUACCAAAAACACAGGUCUCUGCUAAGGUGAAAACCGAUGUAUAGGGGCUGACGCCUGCCCAAUGCUCGUAGGUUAACAGGAGGUGUUAGGGGUAACCCGAAGCACUGAAUCGAAGUCCGAGUGAAUGGCGGCCGUAACUCUAACGGUCCUAAGGUAGCGAAAUUCCUUGUCGGCUAAAUACCGACCCGCAUGAAAGGCGUAACGACUUGGGAACUGUCUCAACGAGAAGCUCGGUGAAAAUGUAGCACCCGUGAAGAUGCGGGUUACGCGCAGUAGGACGGAAAGACCCCGUGGAGCUUUACUACACCUUCAGAUUGUCGUUUGGGUGUAGAUGUAGAGCGUAGGUGGGAGCUUCGGCACCAAUGGAACACCACCCUUUUACAUCUGGACGACUAACAUGGUCCCUUAUCGGGAUUGUGAACAUUCUGUGGCGGGUAGUUUGACUGGGGCGGUCGCCUCCUAAAAGGUAACGGAGGCGUACAAAGCUGCACUCAGACUGGUCAGAAAUCAGUCGUUGAGCAUAUAGGUAUAGAGUGCGGUUGACUGUGAGACAAACAAGUCGAGCAGGUGCGAAAGCAGGUCUAAGUGACCCUCUGGUGGUGCGUGGGCACGCCAGGGUUCAACGGAUAAAAG